GCCAGACUCCUACGGGAGGCAGCAGUGGGGAAUAUUGCACAAUGGGGGAAACCCUGAUGCAGCGACGCCGCGUGAGCGAGGAAGUAUUUCGGUAUGUAAAGCUCUGUCAGCAGGGAAGAAGAAUGACGGUACCUGAAGAAGAAGCACCGGCUAAAUACGUGCCAGCAGCCGCGGUAAUACGUAUGGUGCAAGCGUUAUCCGGAUUUACUGGGUGUAAAGGGAGCGCAGGCGGUUCUGCAAGUCUGAUGUGAAAGCCCGGGGCUCAACCGCGGGACUGCAUUGGAAACUGCGGGACUGGAGUGUCGGAGGGGUAAGCGGAAUUCCUGGUGUAGCGGUGAAAUGCGUGGAUAUCAGGAGGAACACCGGUGGCGAAGGCGGCUUACUGGACGAUGACUGACGCUGAGGCUCGAAAGCGUGGGGAGCAAACAGGAUUAGAUACCCGAGUAA
RNAcentral lists this ribosomal RNA (447 nucleotides) under uncultured bacterium. RNAcentral describes it as "bacterial SSU rRNA". It matches the Rfam family "Bacterial small subunit ribosomal RNA", at positions 330 to 793 of the family's 1533-position model. The record is from RNAcentral.